This 469-nucleotide ribosomal RNA is filed under the name uncultured bacterium. RNAcentral describes it as "partial 16S ribosomal RNA". It matches the Rfam family "Bacterial small subunit ribosomal RNA", at positions 28 to 507 of the family's 1533-position model. The record is from RNAcentral.
GACGAACGCUGGCGGCGUGCUUAACACAUGCAAGUCGAACGGACAGGCCCUGCUUGCAGGGUGCUUGAGUGGCGAACGGGUGAGUAACACGUGGGUGAUCUGCCCCUUACUUUGGGAUAAGCCUGGGAAACUGGGUCUAAUACUGGAUAGGACCAUGCUGUAGGUGGUGUGGUGGAAAGAUUAGUUUCGGUUAGGGAUGAGCUGGCGGCCGAUCAGCGGUUCGGUGGGGUACUGGGCUACCAAGGCCUCGACGGGUAGACGGCCUGAGUGGGUGGACGGCACGGUCGAGACUGCGAUAGGGGCCAGCCGCCGGCGAGCGGCAGCAGUGGGGAAUAGUGCACAAUGGGCGCAAGGCUGAUGUGGCGACGCCGCGUGGGGGAUGACGGCCUGCGGGUUGUAAACUCCUUUCAGCCAUGACGAAGCCCUUGUGGUGACGGUAGUGGUAGAAGAAGCACCGGCUAACUACGUG